AUCGGGACCUUGCUGAGGCCCACAGCCACUGCCAAGUUGUUCCGGAAGCUAGUCUCGAGGCCCUGAAGGCCCAGGUCACCAAGCUUCAAGGCGAGAAGGAGCAGCUUCUCAAGGAGCACAACGAGGCGCUGGAGGCCCAGAAGACCGCCCUGG
Long non-coding RNA from Lolium rigidum, 153 nucleotides. RefSeq lists it as uncharacterized. The record is from RefSeq and is a predicted model, not a curated record. NCBI's taxonomy places the organism in Eukaryota, Viridiplantae, Streptophyta, Magnoliopsida, Poales, Poaceae. The transcript is spliced from 3 exons.